Molecule: ribosomal RNA, 252 nt
Filed under: uncultured soil bacterium
Lineage: Bacteria
Description: partial 16S ribosomal RNA
Rfam family: Bacterial small subunit ribosomal RNA
Source: RNAcentral
AGGACGAACGCUGGCGGCGUGCUUAACACAUGCAAGUCAAGGGGGCCCGCAAGGGCAACCGGCGAACGGGUGCGUAACACGUGAGCAACCUGCCCAUCUGUGGGGGAUAGCCGGUCCAACGACCGGGUAAUGCCGCAUACGUUCACCUGGGGGCAUCCCCGGGUGAGGAAAGCCUUCGGGCGCAGGUGGAGGGGCUCGCGGCCUAUCAGCUAGUUGGUGGGGUAACGGCCUACCAAGGCAUCGACGGGUAGC